Molecule: ribosomal RNA, 580 nt
Filed under: Cystofilobasidium macerans
Lineage: Eukaryota; Fungi; Basidiomycota; Tremellomycetes; Cystofilobasidiales; Cystofilobasidiaceae
Description: partial large subunit ribosomal RNA
Rfam family: Eukaryotic large subunit ribosomal RNA
Source: RNAcentral
AGUACGGCGAGUGAGCGGGAAGAGCUCAAAUUUAAAAUCUGGCAGGCUACGCUUGUCCGAAUUGUAAUCUCGAGAAGUGUUUUCCGCGUUGGCCUGUGUACAAGUCCCUUGGAACAGGGCGUCAUAGAGGGUGAGAAUCCCGUCCUUGACACAGACACCCAAUGCUUUGUGAUACACUCUCAAUGAGUCGAGUUGUUUGGGAAUGCAGCUCAAAAUGGGUGGUAAAUUCCAUCUAAAGCUAAAUACUGGCGAGAGACCGAUAGCGAACAAGUACCGUGAGGGAAAGAUGAAAAGCACUUUGGAAAGAGAGUCAAACAGUACGUGAAAUUGUUGAAAGGGAAACGAUUGAAGUCAGUCGUGCCUGCCUAGUCUCAGCCUUUUGGUGUACUACUAGGUCGGCAGGUCAGCAUCAGUUUGGGAGGAUUAACAAGGGAGUUAGGAAUGUGGCAACCUCGGUUGUGUUAUAGCCUAGCUUCGCAUUGAUCUUGCUGGACUGAGGAACGCAGUGCGCCCGCAAGGGUUGGUCUUCGGACACAUUCGCACUUAGGAUGCUGGCAUAAUGGCUUUAAACGACCCGUCU